Molecule: long non-coding RNA, 370 nt
Organism: Mytilus californianus (California mussel)
Lineage: Eukaryota; Metazoa; Mollusca; Bivalvia; Mytilida; Mytilidae
Exons: 3
Source: RefSeq, a predicted model, not a curated record
UUAAUCUUUAUAUUUAUAUCAAUAAAGAACUAGGAAAACGUAACGUCAGAAUGUGGAAACUUAUUUUAACUUUUUCACUUCUCGUGGUACUGAAUGCAGGUAUAUCCACGUGUCAAAGAUGUAGUGGUUGUCCGGAUCUUGGGUUAACGCCUUGUAUUAUUAGUCCAUGCGACAAUCAUAAUUGUCCAAGCAACAAAAGAUGCUGUGAAGACUUAUGUAGUAAAGGAUGUAAAUACAAGUGUAUCGACUGAUGGUAUGUCUUGUGACAUGUCAACUGGUCACAUGUAUUUUCUUCUACAGACAAAAACAACAUUUGAAACUUUUUCCAAACCAUGUAUUCGUACAGAAGUAAAGAUUUUCUUUUCUGAAA